UCCGGCUUAUCACCGGCAGUCCCUCUAGAGUGCCCAACUAAAUGAUGGCAACUAAAGGCGAGGGUUGCGCUCGUUGCGGGACUUAACCCAACAUCUCACGACACGAGCUGACGACGGCCAUGCAGCACCUGUGUCCUAGUUCUCUUUCGAGCACUUCCACAUCUCUGCGGAAUUCUAGGCAUGUCAAGGGUAGGUAAGGUUUUUCGCGUUGCAUCGAAUUAAACCACAUCAUCCACCGCUUGUGCGGGCCCCCGUCAAUUCCUUUGAGUUUUAGCCUUGCGACCGUACUCCCCAGGCGGCAUAUUUAACGCGUUAGCUCCGGCACAGACCAAAUGAAUGGCCCACACCAAAUAUGCAUCGUUUAGGGCGUGGACUAC
This 377-nucleotide unclassified non-coding RNA is filed under the name uncultured bacterium. Its description in RNAcentral is "contains 16S-23S intergenic spacer region". The record is from RNAcentral.